UGGGGAAUAUUGGACAAUGGGCGGAAGCCUGAUCCAGCCAUGCCGCGUGUGUGAAGAAGGCCUUUUGGUUGUAAAGCACUUUAAGCGAGGAGGAGGCUACUUGGAUUAAUACUCUAGGAUAGUGGACGUUACUCGCAGAAUAAGCACCGGCUAACUCUGUGCCAGCAGCCGCGGUAAUACAGAGGGUGCGAGCGUUAAUCGGAUUUACUGGGCGUAAAGCGUGCGUAGGCGGCUUCUUAAGUCGGAUGUGAAAUCCCUGAGCUUAACUUAGGAAUUGCAUUCGAUACUGGGAAGCUAUAGUAUGGGAGAGGAUGGUAGAAUUCCAGGUGUAGCGGUGAAAUGCGUAGAGAUCUGGAGGAAUACCGAUGGCGAAGGCAGCCAUCUGGCCUAAUACUGACGCUGAGGUACGAAAGCAUGAGGAGCAAACAGG
RNAcentral lists this ribosomal RNA (430 nucleotides) under bacterium. RNAcentral's name for it is "partial 16S ribosomal RNA". It matches the Rfam family "Bacterial small subunit ribosomal RNA", at positions 355 to 776 of the family's 1533-position model. The record is from RNAcentral.